This 671-nucleotide ribosomal RNA is filed under the name uncultured archaeon. Its description in RNAcentral is "bacterial SSU rRNA". It matches the Rfam family "Archaeal small subunit ribosomal RNA", at positions 1 to 679 of the family's 1478-position model. The record is from RNAcentral.
UUCCGGUUGAUCCUGCCGGACCUGACUGCUAUCGGAUUGGUACUAAGCCAUGUGAGUCGUUGCAGCAAUGCAAGGCAGACGGCUCAGUAACACGUAGUCAACCUAACCUAUGGACGGGGAUAACCUCGGGAAACUGAGAAUAAUACCCGAUAGAUCAUGAUACCUGGAACGGUUUAUGGUUCAAAUGAUUUAUCGCCAUAGGAUGGGACUGCGGUCUAUCAGCUUGUUGGUGAGGUAAUGGCCCACCAAGGCUAUAACAGAUACGGGCUCUGAGAGGAGGGGCCCGGAGAUGGGUACUGAGACACGGACCCAGGUCCUAUGGGGCGCAGCAGGCGAGAAACCUUUGCAAUGUGCGAAAGCACGACAAGGUUAAUCCGAGUGAUUCCUGCUAAAGGAAUCUUUUGUUAGUCAUAAAACCACUGAUGAAUAAGGGGUGGGCAAGUUCUGGUGUCAGCCGCCGCGGUAAUACCAGCACCUCGAGUGGUCAGGAGGUUUAUUGGGCCUAAAGCAUCCGUAGCCGGCUGCUCAAGUUUCCGGUUAAAUCCACACGCUUAACGUAUGGGCUGCCGGAAAUACUGUUCAGCUAGGGAGUGGGAGAGGUAGACGGUACUCGAUAGGAAGGGGUAAAAUCCUUUGAUCUAUUGAUGACCACCUGUGGCGAAGGCGGUCUA